This 744-nucleotide ribosomal RNA is filed under the name uncultured bacterium. RNAcentral's name for it is "bacterial SSU rRNA". It matches the Rfam family "Bacterial small subunit ribosomal RNA", at positions 100 to 842 of the family's 1533-position model. The record is from RNAcentral.
GGACGGGUGAGUAACACUUGGGAAUCUGCCCAGUAGUGGGGGACAACAUUCGGAAACGGAUGCUAAUACCGCAUACGCACUACGGUGGAAAGUGGGGGAUCUUCGGACCCUGCACUAUUGGAUGAGCCUAUGUCUGAUUAGCUUGUUGGUAGGGUAACGGCCUACCAAGGCGACGAUCAGUAGCUGGUCUGAGAGGACGAUCAGCCACACCGGGACUGAGACACGGCCCGGACUCCUACGGGAGGCAGCAGUGGGGAAUAUUGGACAAUGGGGGCAACCCUGAUCCAGCAAUGCCGCGUGUGUGAAGAAGGCCUGCGGGUUGUAAAGCACUUUCAGUUGGGAAGAAAAGUUGACGGUUAAUACCCGUUAGCCCUGACAUUACCAACAGAAGAAGCACCGGCUAACUCCGUGCCAGCAGCCGCGGUAAUACGGAGGGUGCGAGCGUUAAUCGGAAUUACUGGGCGUAAAGCGCGCGUAGGGGUUUGAUAAGUCGGAUGUGAAAUCCCCGGGCUUAACCUGGGAAUGGCAUUCGAUACUGUCAGACUAGAGUAUGGUAGAGGGUAGUGGAAUUCCCGGUGUAGCGGUGAAAUGCGUAGAUAUCGGGAGGAACACCAGUGGCGAAGGGGCUACCUGGACCAAUACUGACGCUGAGGUGCGAAAGGUGGGGGAGCAAACAGGAUUAGAUACCCUGGUAGUCCACGCCCUAAACUAUGUCAACUAGCCGUUGGGUUUUUUAAAAACUUA